AUGUCUUUUUGCUCACGAACAGGUUUGAUGAAGUGUGUCUGUGCCUGGUGUGGGAAGGAUCCCCCCCACCCCUGCCCACGCAGCCCGGGCAGAAGGAGCUACGCGGGGCAGUGUCUGUGCUCCUGCCCACACCCUCUGCUCAGAGCCAGGAUUCAAAAUGUUCCCACCCCAUGGCAGAGGGGCGCCCGUGGAACCCUCGGGAAGAAACCAGAGCCGGCUGGUGUCAGCUCCCGCUGGUGUCAGCUGGCCCCCUGCUGGGCACAUCCCUGCUUCCCUCCCACCUCCUCACCAUCUGAGGCUCCCUCCACCACCUACUGUCGUAAGGACUUGUCGGGAUUUGGACAGUCAGCCUCCGCUAAGUGAAGACGGACCUGGCAGGUCCCUGAGCAGCCUGGCCCUGGACCCGGGCCCCGUGGUAGAUGCUCCUUGAUUUGCUGAGUAAGUGAAGGGUCAGGGAAUCAUGAGUGAUUUUCAUCUUAACCUUUAUGUUUUCCGAUUUUCUGUAAAGAAGGCAUUUUUUACCAAAAAUAAUAAUAAUAAAUGUUGCCUUUAUUUAUUUUUAUUUUUUUAUUAUUAUUUUUUAAUGUUGCCUUUAAAAGUAAAUGUGUGUGCAGCAACAGAGACUCUCAUUCAUUGCAGGGGGGGAUGUGAAAUGCUACAGCCGCUUGGGAAGACAGCUUGGUGGCGUCUCACAAAACUAAACAUACUCUUACCCUAUGGCCCAGAGAUCAUGCUCCUUGGUAUUUACUCAAAGGAGUUGAAAACAGAGAUACCUGGGUGGCCCAUAGGUUGAGCCUUUGCCUUCGGCCUGGGGCGUGAUCCUGGAGUUCCUGGAUCGAGCCCCGCAUCGGGCUCCCCGCGUGGAGCCUGCCUCCCACUCUGCCUAUGUCUCUGCCUCUGUGUCUCUCAUGAAUAAAUAAAUAAAAUCUUUAAAAAAAAGGAGUUGAAAACAUAUGUCCAACAAAAACCUGCACAUGGGUGUGAAUAGCAGUUUCAUUCAUAAUUGCCAGAACCUGGAAGCAACCAAGACAUCCUUCAAGAAAUGAAGGGAGAGAUAACCCAGGGUUCAUCCAGACAAUGGAAUAUUACUUGGCGCUAAGAAGGAAUGAGCUAGCAAGCCAUGAAAAGACCUGGAGGAAACUUAAAUGCAAAUUACUAAGUGAAAGGAGCCAAUCUGAAAAGGCUGCUUACUGUAGGAUUCCAACAAUAGGACAUUCUGGAAAAGGCAAAACCAUGGAGACACAAUGAUCAGCGGUUGCCAGGGGUAGCGGGGAAUUUUUAGGGCAGUGAAACUACUCUGUAUGAUGUUAUAACGACGCAUAAUGUCAUUGUACAUUUGUGCAAACCCCUAGGAUGUACAACACCAAGAGUGAGCCCUAAAUGUCACCUGUGGACUCUGGGUGACAAUGAUGUGUUAGUGUAUGUCCAUUAAUUGUGACGAGUGUCGCACUCUGGUGGGGGAGGAGGUUGUCAUGUGUGGGGACUGGAGACAUAUGGGAAAUCUCUGUGCUUCCUGUUCAAUUUUGCUGUGACCCUAAAACUGCUCUAAAAAAAAUUAAGUCUACUAAAACUUUUUUUAAGCAACUAUGAGGCUCAGCGAGACUGGGUCACAGCAUGAUGGUGGCCGAGGUGGGUCCCAGGAACAGAGCUGGCUGGCGCAUGCUGUCCCCACCCAUCGGGGAGAAGCAGGCUUGCUGAGCCUGGGGCCUGGCCCUUGGAGUGGGCAGAGAGCCACCUCUGAGAAUGGGGAUGUGGAGCGGUUCCUGCUCGUCCCUGGGCCUGCCCAUGGCUCUUUGCUGCCUCGUCCAGGCUCUCUGGCACUGUCACUUUGAGUCACCAGCAGGCACAUCCCUUGCUACAGGUCAGCGGGAGACCUGACCUGAAG
RNAcentral lists this long non-coding RNA (1885 nucleotides) under Canis lupus familiaris (dog). Its description in RNAcentral is "lncRNA (ENSCAFG00030020845.1)". The record is from RNAcentral. Lineage: Eukaryota; Metazoa; Chordata; Mammalia; Carnivora; Canidae.